GGGAGAGCGCAAGAGCCUGGGCUGUGUCCCUCGCGUCCUGGGCUCUGGGGCCUGCGCUGCUGGAAUCGCGCUCCCGGGGCCGCGCAGCCUCCU
Molecule: microRNA precursor, 93 nt
Filed under: Canis lupus familiaris (dog)
Lineage: Eukaryota; Metazoa; Chordata; Mammalia; Carnivora; Canidae
Description: mir-8799 microRNA precursor family
Rfam family: mir-8799 microRNA precursor family
Source: Rfam by way of RNAcentral